CCUACACCACAGCUCACGGCAACACCGGCAACACCGGGUCCUUAACCCCCUGGGCGAGGCAAGGGAUGGAACUCACAACCUCAUGGCUCCUAGUCGGAUUUGUUAACCACUGAACCACGAUGGGAACUCCCGAAUAAGUGGUUUUUACAUAUCUUUAAACCUAGGGUCUGUUCCUCUGGGACUCUGAUUCACAGAGAUUGACAUCUGUCCUGUGGUAUCUGAUAAGUUAACUAUCUGGUUUGUUCCUUGUGGAAACUUACAAUAUCCUACAAAUAAGUCCCUAUUUAUCAGACUUGUAACUCUCCACACGCUGAAAGGACAAAUAUGUGAUUUGAUUAAAUUGUUACUUGAUUCAAUGGCAAGUCAAGUUCUUUAUUUCCUUGUGUUAAGGGUGGAGUUGCAGACAGAAAGUGGAACCCGACCAGAAUAAGAGGUGUUCAGUUUAAAACAAUGAUGAAACAUGCAUUUUAAUAAAGGGAUAUAACCUAAGCCAAAGAAUAGGGGUUUGUGUUAGUUUGAUAUUAGAAAAACAAUGGUCUGGAUGUAAUAAAUACAAUUAGUUGGUGAACAUAAACUAUUGAACAAAUAAAAUUAAGCAAUGUGUCUGCUCAGAGAAUCACAAUACUUUCCAGUUCUUCCUGGAUUAGCGUGAUUAUUUCUGAAGCUCCUUUCCACAAAAAAAGAAACUUCCUUGCCUUUCUCUAGAUUUUCUGUUUGUUUUUGUUUGUCUUUUUCUUUUUGGCCACCCUCGGGGCAUAUGGUGUUCCUAAGCCAGGGGUCAGAACCCAGACAGUUGCAACCUAUGCACAGCUAUGACAAUGCAGUAUCCUUAACCCACUGGCCAGAAAGGUGAUCAAACCUGUGUCCAGUACUCCAGAGGUGCAGCCAAUCCCUUUGUGACACAGAGGGACUCCAGUCUUUCUCCUGUUUUCUUUUUAAAAAUUGUUGCUUUUAUUUGCUGCAAUGACCACACCAUCCAGUUCCCUAAAUCACCAAACAUCUAACAUAAAGAAUGGAGACGCUCCUACCCAAACCAAACUCAACCAGACUUUCCACAAUGAAUCAUGUACCAGUGACUAAAGUCCAGGUAUCACAUUGGAUGUAUAAUUUCUUCCAUUGCAUAUGUUUGCAGUGUGGCUAUAAGACCUGAGAAUCAAUUCUGUUUCUAUAAUGUCUUAUACUAAGGACAUUACCUUUGAGUCCUAUACUGUAGUAGAUCCGUUGCACUUCAGUUAAUACUACGUUUAGUCUGCAUUUCUUGAAUACGUGAGCUGAAGGUAAGGAGGUGACCAUAAGAAUGAAAAGAAAGGUGAAUGUCUUGGUUUAAGAAAUCUGUAGAGGAAAAUUCAAAUCCAGAUAAUAAAGCAUUCUUUGCACUUCAAGAUAUGCAUGUUUUCUUCUUCAUGUUCUUUACUCUUAUUUUAUUUUUUUAAUUUGUUUGCUUUUUAGGGCCGCACCCAUGGCAUACAGAAAUUCCCAAGCUAGGGGUCAAAUCGGAGCUAUAGCUGCCGACGUACGCCACAGCCAAGGCAACUUGGCAUCUGAACUGUGUCUUUUCCCUAUGCCACAGCUCAUGGCAACACCGGAUCCCCAACCCACUGAGUGAGGCCAGGGAUCGAACCCACAUCCUCAUGGAUACUUGUCAGAUUUGUUUCCACUGUGCCACAACAGGAACUCCCUACUCUUAUUUUAUACCCUGUGGUACUUCCAAACUUCAUAGUUGAUUCCAUAACAAACCUCAAUACCUCCGAUCCUUCUCUCAACUCUAAUUCAGGGAGCACCAUGAGGACAGGGGUGUUCAUCCAUGGCAUUCCCUGUACCAUCUGAGGCUAGUAUUUCCCCCAAACUCAACAGACACGAAGCAUGGUAGACACACAUUAGGAAUUAUUUCAAUGGUCCCAUCUUUCUCCCCUCCUCCUUCCACACUCUUCCCAUAAACACAUACUCCUCUCAUCACCAUUUGCUACUAAACUAGUUCCUCUUCUUAAACAUCGGUUCUCUAGAAAUGAUUCCCCACUUAUUCCAGCCACCCAAGUAAUAUUUUUAGCCUUCUUGGGGUAGGAGCUUCCAUUUCUGUGUCUUUACCCAUGGUGCUCCCACUAAUGGGAAUUCUGUCUUCUUUCCUCCUGAUUCUAUAAAACCUACUCAUCUUCCCUCAUGUCCCAUGAAGCCAUCACCUUCUUUUCGAGGUCACAGGGAUUUGUCCUUUCUAAAACUGAUGCUUUAAUUCUCCAGAGUUCUUCACAAUAUUUUACUCAAUUACCCUCCAUUUAUUCAUGGAUUCUUAUUUCUCUGCCUAAAAUGUCAUCUUUUGGGGGCAGGAUUCAUGCUGUUUAUUUCUUGAUAGCUUGUCCAAACAAACACAAGCUCUCCAUAAGUAUCUGUAGGCUGAUUAAUAACCAAAGGAAAAUAUUAUCAGCAGCCAUGUGUUUAAGAACAUUUUAUGGGAGGAAAAGAUGAAAAAGGAUACAUCUAGGCUUCUCUGAAAUAUGCAGAAGAAAUCCACAUUCUACACAUACCGACAGGUAUACAAUCUUUUUUUAAUCGAAGUAUAGUGGAUUUACAAUAUUGUGUUAGUUUCUGGUGUACAGCUAAGUGAUUCAGUUUGCACACACUUUUUCAUAUUUUUCUCCAUUGGGGUUUAUUCAAGAUGCUGAAUAUAGUUCCCUGCGCUAUACAGUAGGGACCUUGUUAUCUAUUUUAUAAAUAGUACUUUGCAUUUGCUAAUCCCAAACUCCUAAUUUUUUUUCUCCUCCAUGCUGGAAUCUUAACUAAUUUAUAAUAAAACAUUAACUGAGCUUUUUAAGUCUUGUUUAAAUCCAUCUACUAAUUGCAAGGCACUGUGACCGACCUUCUGUUUUGUUUGUUGCCAUGUGAAAAAGACAGUCCUGUUGUGAGAACAUCACAGACCCUUAUUCUCAAAAGUCAAACAGAAAAAUAUGCUUCUGAUGUUGUUAUCAUUCCCCAUAAGAGCCAUGGUGGGAGGAAGAAUGGCUCUCAUUCUCUCUGCCUGCUUACACAAGGGCUAUUUACCAUUUUGCUAGGUCUUUCAUCAGUGCCAAGUGCUCCACAAUAUCACUUUUAUUGGUCACUCACCACCGGCACCAUGUGAUACCCAGGAAUAUUAUUGCCCCCUGUUGAACAGCGCGAAUGCCCUCAUGAGACACAGAGAAAUCCUGUGAGGGACUUGCCCUCCCUAAGAUAAACAGUGGGAAUUAGAGCUUGAACUCAAAGCUCUGGUGUUCUGCUCAGAGUCCUGGGAAAAUCUACAAAGGUCUUCCUUGAGUAAAGCUAGGGAACAUGUGCCACCAGCUCAUCAUUUCAGGCUUAUUCUCCAGCAGUACCGAAAAAUCAACUUGAUCCAACAGAUAUUUAUUGGGUGCCUAGAAAUGCCAGACACAGUGCCAGAUGUGGGAGACAGAGCAGAGAAUCUGACAGACCCAGCCUCACAGAGCAGAGAGUCUAGGCAGCAGUUUAUAAAGGCGGAACCUGGGAGUUCCCACUGUAGCUCAGUGGGUUAAGUACCUGACAAGGUGUCUGUGAGGAUGAGGGUUUGAUCCCUAGCCUCACUCAGUGGGUUAAGGAUCCAGCAUUGCGGUGAGCUGUGGGAUAGGUCAAAAAUGUGGCUUGGAUCUGGCAUUGCUGUGGGUGGCUGAGGCAUAGGCUAGCAGCUGCAGCUCCGAUUUGACCCCCUAGCCUGGGAAAUUCCAUAUGCCUCAGGUGCAGCCCAAAGGGGAAAAAAAAAAAAGAAAAAAGAAAAAGGAGGAAGAGAAUCCUUUGGGGUAUGGCUAGAAAAAUAUUAGAAUGUCUUUAGUUCUUUUAUAUUACCAUUUAAGGGAUUUUUACAAUUUUAUUUGUGGGUGUUUAUGAUACACUAAUAGACAGUAUGCUUAUAUUGGGGGGAAUCUAUGUUCAAAAUAUUUGCACAGAUAUGGAUGGGCAAGUGGAACAUUUGAAAACCCCUGGAUGGCAGGACUAUUUGGACUUUCCUGAACAUGCUGUGAUGUUCACAUAUUAAAGUCUUUCUACCUGCUAUUUUCUCUAAAAUGUACCUCCUCUCUUGUUUAGUUUGUUUUUGUUUUGCUGCCCCUGUCGCAUGCAAAAGUUCCCAGGCGAGGUUUCAAACCUGUGCCACAGUAGCGACAACGCCUGCUCCUUAAAACCUGAUGAGCUACCAGUAAACUCCAUCUCACCAUUCUCCUUCCUGAGUGAACUCUUCCCAAGCUCAGCUGUCGCUUGCUUAAGGAAGUCUUCCUUGUGCCCCCCCCCCUUCCCCAGGCAGAGUCUGUCACUUCUCUCUGGUGGCCUCCAUUGUACCUUAGAUGUCCCUCGCCCACAGGAACUACCAUGCUGCACUGUAACUGUCUGUCCACAUUCCUGUCUCUGGCACUGACUGCCUGGAACCUCUGGUCUGUGAGCUCCUUGACGACAGGGGUCCUGUGCUUCACCUUUGGUUCUCAAGGGUUAGCACUGGCACUUGGCCUAUAAAGGACUCUCAUAGUGCAUGUCAGAAAUUUAUUCACAAGUUUUUCUUUUUUAUAUAAUUUCAUUGGAGUACAGUUGAUUUUACAAUGUUGUGUUAGCUUCAGGUAUAUAGCAAAGUGACUCAGUUAUACAUACACAUAAAUAUAUUCGUUUCAGAUUAUUUCACCAUAUAGGUUAUUGCAGAAUAUUGAGUAGAGUUCCCUGUGCUAUACUGUAGGUCCCUGUUGAUUAUCAAUUUUUUAUUCAGUAGUAUGUAUAUGCUAAUCAAAAUUCCUAAUUUAUCUCCCACCGCAACAACUCUUCCUUCCUUCCUCCUUCCCUUUUCCCUCUCUGCCUUUCUUUUUUUGGCUGCACCUGCAGCAUGCAGAAGUUCCUGGGGUAGGGAUUGAACCCAUGCCACAGCAGCGACAACGCCAAGUCUUUACCCCCUCGGCCACCAGAGAAGUCCAACUUUUUCUUUUUAAUUGCAAUUGACUUAAAACGGAAGUUUCAUGUGGGCAAUCAGGGUGCAUUUUACUUCCUCCUUUCUCCCCCUGUGGAGAAGGAGAGGUGCUGGGGAGGCAGGGAGGUGUGUUCAUACUCAAGGUAUUAGACUACAACCCCUAACUCCCCAGUUAAGUAGAAAAUGUAGAGAGGGGCUAUGAGAAAACAAUACAUUUAAAAUUUCCCAGGAGUUCCUGUCCUGGCUCAGUGGUUCCGAAUCUGACUAGGAACCAUGAGGUUGUGGGUUUGGCCCCUGGCCUUGCUCAUACAGUUUUCUAUGGCCUUUGGCAAGACGGCAUAGGGAACAUCCACUAGUCUAUACUUGCAUAUACAUUAUUGUCAUCUGUUACAUCAGUGCAACAGAUAUUACACGCAUGAUGGGGAAAGAUAAUUAGAAAACAAAUGACUCAGGAUUCUAUGUGGCUAAUGAAGUCAAGACCUUAAUCAAAACUUUCCGAACAUUUCUAAAUUUGGUUUCCUACUAUAAAUUAUGUCUUUUAAAAUGGAAACGAUCAUAGGCAAUACUAAAGCUUCUCAAACUCAAUUUAUAAAUUUGUCAAACAUUCAUUUCUCAUUUGAAAGAAUGUCACCGACUUCUAGCAAAGUGUUCCUUAUAUAACCAUAUACAAACCACACACACACACACACAUACACUUCUUCUCUCUUAGAUGCACAUCAAAGGUUUGCAAAUUUUGUCUAUAAAGGACCAGAUGGAAAUACCUUUGGCUUUGGAGACCAUAUAAUCUUGGUUGCAACUAAUUCUGCUGUGGUAGCACAAAAGCAGUCAUAGACAGUAUGUAAAUGACUGGGUGUGGCUGUGUUCCCAAAAAACUUUACUUAUAAAAAAUAAGCAGUGGGCCAGAUGUGGCCCACCAACUGUAGUUUACACCUACUCCCCACACACAUGGUUGAUUUCCAUAGGUAAUAUAAAAAUUCAUGUUUACACUCAUUUCAUAAUUGAAAAGGUGUUUCCAGAAUGUUAAUUCUGAGCCCUGCUGACCUAUUUACUAAUAUUAACAGCAAUAAUAACAACUAACAAUGAAUGUUCCCUACAUGCCAGGCCUUAUUCUAAGAACUUUCCUCGCAUGCAACCAGAAGUGCCCUAUUUAUUUCUGCCAUUUUUAGAAAAGGAAACAGAACUUUAAAC
RNAcentral lists this long non-coding RNA (6115 nucleotides) under Sus scrofa (pig). RNAcentral's name for it is "lncRNA (ENSSSCG00065061237.1)". The record is from RNAcentral. Lineage: Eukaryota; Metazoa; Chordata; Mammalia; Artiodactyla; Suidae.